RNAcentral lists this ribosomal RNA (292 nucleotides) under uncultured Planctomycetota bacterium. RNAcentral's name for it is "uncultured planctomycete partial 16S ribosomal RNA". Lineage: Bacteria; Pseudomonadati; Planctomycetota. The record is from RNAcentral.
GGACUACCGGGGUUUCUAAUCCCGUUUGCUCCCCUAGCUUUCGCGCCUCAGCGUCAGAAGAGGUCCAGCAGCUCGCUUUCGCCACCGGCGUUCCUUCCAAUAUCAACGCAUUUCACCGCUCCACUGGAAGUUCCAGCUGCCCCUACCUCCCUCCAGCCAAGCCGUAUCCAAGGCCCUUUUCCGGUUAAGCCGAAAGAUUUCACCCCGGACGUGCUUGACCGCCUACGCGCCCUUUAAGCCCAGUGAAUCCGAACAACGUUCGCACGGUUCGUCUUACCGCGGCUGCUGGCAC